This 659-nucleotide ribosomal RNA is filed under the name uncultured Tepidimonas sp. RNAcentral describes it as "bacterial SSU rRNA". It matches the Rfam family "Bacterial small subunit ribosomal RNA", at positions 28 to 674 of the family's 1533-position model. The record is from RNAcentral. Lineage: Bacteria; Pseudomonadati; Pseudomonadota; Betaproteobacteria; Burkholderiales.
AUUGAACGCUGGCGGCAUGCUUUACACAUGCAAGUCGAACGGUAACAGGCCUUCGGGUGCUGACGAGUGGCGAACGGGUGAGUAAUGCAUCGGAACGUGCCCAGAGGUGGGGGAUAACGCAGCGAAAGCUGUGCUAAUACCGCAUGUGAUCUGAGGAUGAAAGCGGGGGACCAGGCAGCAAUGUUUGGCCUCGCGCCUUUGGAGCGGCCGAUGUCAGAUUAGGUAGUUGGUGGGGUAAAGGCCUACCAAGCCGACGAUCUGUAGCUGGUCUGAGAGGACGACCAGCCACACUGGGACUGAGACACGGCCCAGACUCCUACGGGAGGCAGCAGUGGGGAAUUUUGGACAAUGGGCGCAAGCCUGAUCCAGCAAUGCCGCGUGCGGGAAGAAGGCCUUCGGGUUGUAAACCGCUUUUGUACGGAACGAAAAGGCUCUGGCUAAUACCUGGGGCUGAUGACGGUACCGUAAGAAUAAGCACCGGCUAACUACGUGCCAGCAGCCGCGGUAAUACGUAGGGUGCGAGCGUUAAUCGGAAUUACUGGGCGUAAAGCGUGCGCAGGCGGUCUUGUAAGACAGAGGUGAAAUCCCUGGGCUCAACCUAGGAAUGGCCUUUGUGACUGCAAGGCUGGAGUGCGGCAGAGGGGGAUGGAAUUCCGCGU